AGCUCCAAUAGCGUAUAUUAAAGUUGCUGCAGUUAAAAAGCUCGUAGUUGGAUUUGUGGCGCGGCCGUCCGGCGGGGGUCCUUUAUUGGUCCCGUUCGUCCUGGUUCUCGGCCGCUCCUUUCUCGGGUAGCGCGUGGCUGGCAUCAGGUUGUCGGCCGCUUCGCGCCCGUCAUUUACUGUGAAAAAAUUAGAGUGUUCAAAGCAGGCUUAGGCCGUUGGAUACAUUAGCAUGGAAUAAUGAGACAGGGCCACCGCGGUCUAUUUUGUUGGUUUGCACGUUGUGGCAAUGAUUAACAGGAACGGUUGGGGGUAUUCGUAUUCAACUGUCAGAGGUGAAAUUCUUGGAUUUGUGGAAGACGAACUACUGCGAAAGCAUUUACCAAGGAUGUUUUCAUUAAUC
Molecule: ribosomal RNA, 400 nt
Filed under: phytoplankton environmental sample
Lineage: Eukaryota
Description: partial small subunit ribosomal RNA
Rfam family: Eukaryotic small subunit ribosomal RNA
Source: RNAcentral